RNAcentral lists this ribosomal RNA (300 nucleotides) under uncultured bacterium. RNAcentral describes it as "bacterial SSU rRNA". It matches the Rfam family "Bacterial small subunit ribosomal RNA", at positions 28 to 327 of the family's 1533-position model. The record is from RNAcentral.
GAUGAACGCUAGCGGCAGGCUUAAUACAUGCAAGUCGAGGGGUAACAUGGUAGCAAUACUGAUGACGACCGGCAAACGGGUGCGGAACACGUACAGAACCUUCCUUUAAGCGGGGAUAGCCCAUAGAAAUGUGGAUUAAUACCCCAUAGCAAUAUUUAAUGGCAUCAUUAGAUAUUUAAAGAUUUAUCACUUAAAGAUGGCUGUGCGGCUGAUUAGGUAGUUGGNGCGGGUAACGGCCCACCAAGCCAUCGAUCAGUAACUGGUGUGAGAGCACGACCAGUCACACGGGCACUGAGACAC